RNAcentral lists this ribosomal RNA (255 nucleotides) under uncultured bacterium. Its description in RNAcentral is "partial small subunit ribosomal RNA". It matches the Rfam family "Bacterial small subunit ribosomal RNA", at positions 26 to 285 of the family's 1533-position model. The record is from RNAcentral.
AGGACGAACGCUGGCGGCGUGCUUAACACAUGCAAGUCGAGCGGAAAGGCCCUUCGGGGUACUCGAGCGGCGAACGGGUGAGUAACACGUGAGCAACCUGCCCUUAGCUCUGGGAUAGCUCCGGGAAAACCGGAAUUAAUACCGGAUACGACCUAGGCCGACAUCGGCCAUGGUGGAAAGUUUUUCGGCUAGGGAUGGACUCGCGGCCUAUCAGCUAGUUGGUGGGGUAAAGGCCUACCAAGGCGACGACGGGUA